AUGUACUCCCUCUUUGAGAAAACAGAGAAGAGCGUCCACAAGUUCCUGCAAGAUAGGGAUGCCGCCGACACGAAGAACAAUCUCAUCUCAAGGUACAAGGAGCAAGACAUCCCAGUUGGCUGGAUGUCAGACGCAGGUUUAAUUGUCAAGGUCAAGUUGGCGUGCGUCAACCUCGCAAACCAGUACAUGACGCGGGUGGUCUCGGAGAUCGAUGGUUUAAGAGGCAUCAACAAAGAUCACACCAGGGAAACAGCACUCUUCAAACGUCUGAAAGAGCAGAACAGUGAAGUGCUGCUCCAUCAGGGUGUCAGGUUCGCGUUCCGGGUUCAUCAGUUUACAGGCGGGUUCACUGCUCAGAGCUUGGGUGCUUUUGAUGAGCUAAAACGACGGCAUAAUGAUGGAACAACUUAA
Molecule: ribosomal RNA, 411 nt
Filed under: Triticum aestivum (bread wheat)
Lineage: Eukaryota; Viridiplantae; Streptophyta; Magnoliopsida; Poales; Poaceae
Description: partial small subunit ribosomal RNA
Source: RNAcentral